UCCGGGGUAGCUCAAUGGUAGAGCAAUGCGCUGUUAACGCGGAGGUUACAGGUUCGAGUCCUGUCCCCGGAGCCA
Molecule: transfer RNA, 75 nt
Filed under: Parcubacteria group bacterium CG2_30_36_38
Lineage: Bacteria
Also listed under: 2 other names
Description: tRNA-Asn
Rfam family: tRNA
About the family: Transfer RNA (tRNA) molecules are approximately 80 nucleotides in length. Their secondary structure includes four short double-helical elements and three loops (D, anti-codon, and T loops). Further hydrogen bonds mediate the characteristic L-shaped molecular structure. tRNAs have two regions of fundamental functional importance: the anti-codon, which is responsible for specific mRNA codon recognition, and the 3' end, to which the tRNAs corresponding amino acid is attached (by aminoacyl-tRNA synthetases). tRNAs cope with the degeneracy of the genetic code in two manners: having more than one tRNA (with a specific anti-codon) for a particular amino acid; and 'wobble' base-pairing, i.e. permitting non-standard base-pairing at the 3rd anti-codon position.
Source: RNAcentral